RNAcentral lists this unclassified non-coding RNA (377 nucleotides) under soil metagenome. Its description in RNAcentral is "partial contains 5.8S ribosomal RNA, internal transcribed spacer 2, and large subunit ribosomal RNA". The stretch from base 1 to 121 matches the Rfam family "5.8S ribosomal RNA", at positions 35 to 154 of the family's 154-position model. The record is from RNAcentral.
GAUGAAGAACGGUAGCGAAAUGCGAUAAGUAAUGUGAAUUGCAGAAUUCAGUGAAUCAUCGAAUCUUUGAACGCAUCUUGCGCUCCUUGGUAUUCUGAGGAGCAUGCCUGUUUGAGUGUCAUUAAAUUCUCAACUACACUGACUUUGAAUUGGUGUGGCUUGGAUUUGGGGGGAAAAUUGUUGUGGGCUUUUUGUAUAGUCUGCUCCCCUGAAAUUGAUUAGCGGUACCUUUGUGGAACUGUCUACAGGUGUGAUAAUUAUCUACAUCUUAGACAUCUGCUGGAAUGCUGCUUUCUAAACCUUACUUGUAUUGACAAUCUUGACCUCAAAUCAGGUAGGACUACCCGCUGAACUUAAGCAUAUCAAUAAGCGGAGGA